This is a non-coding RNA of Elaeis guineensis (African oil palm), 118 nucleotides long. NCBI's taxonomy places the organism in Eukaryota, Viridiplantae, Streptophyta, Magnoliopsida, Arecales, Arecaceae. The record is from RefSeq and is a predicted model, not a curated record.
UCACCUCGACCCCCUACUCUUCGAGAUCUCUCGGUUGUGGAGGCCGGCCCUUCUUCGAUCCCCUUCUCGGUUUGUGAUCGCAAAAUAUGCAUCUAAUUUUGAUGAAUUAAUUGUGAAG